RNAcentral lists this unclassified non-coding RNA (394 nucleotides) under soil metagenome. RNAcentral's name for it is "partial contains 5.8S ribosomal RNA, internal transcribed spacer 2, and large subunit ribosomal RNA". The stretch from base 1 to 119 matches the Rfam family "5.8S ribosomal RNA", at positions 35 to 154 of the family's 154-position model. The record is from RNAcentral.
GAUGAAGAACGCAGCGAAAUGCGAUAGUAAUGUGAAUUGCAGAAUUCAGUGAAUCAUCGAAUCUUUGAACGCACCUUGCGCCUUUUGGUAUUCCGAAAGGCACACCUGUUUGAGCGUCAUGAAUACCUCAAUCUCCAUCUUUUCUUCGGAUUGAUGGGUGACUUGGAUGUUGAGCCCUGCUGGUAUGCUAUAUCAGCUGGCUUUAAACUUAUUAGCCGGCUCUGUACUGGAUCGGUUUGACUCGACGUGAUAAUAUUAUCGUUGAGGAUGCAUGUCUCAUGCAGCCGGAAAGUAUCAAAGCAGCUUCUAGCUUGCCUUUAGUGCACUUUUACAUUUUAGACCUCAGAUCAGGUGGGACUACCCGCUGAACUUAAGCAUAUCAAUAAGCGGAGGA